Molecule: ribosomal RNA, 490 nt
Filed under: uncultured bacterium
Lineage: Bacteria
Description: partial 16S ribosomal RNA
Rfam family: Bacterial small subunit ribosomal RNA
Source: RNAcentral
GAUGAACGCUAGCUACAGGCUUAACACAUGCAAGUCGCGGGGCAGCAUGGGGGUUGCUUGCAAUCCCCGAUGGCGACCGGCGCACGGGUGAGUAACGCGUAUUCAACCUGCCCUUCACCACGGGAUAACCCGGCGAAAGUCGGACUAAUACCGUAUGUUGUCCAUUGACGGCAUCCGAUUUGGACGAAAGGCUUGGCGGUGAGGGAUGGGGAUGCGUCCGAUUAGCCAGACGGCGGGGUAACGGCCCACCGUGGCUACGAUCGGUAGGGGUUCUGAGAGGGAGGUCCCCCACACUGGAACUGAGACACGGUCCAGACUCCUACGGGAGGCAGCAGUGAGGAAUAUUGGUCAAUGGGCGUAAGCCUGAACCAGCCAAGUAGCGUGCAGGAUGACGGCCCUAUGGGUUGUAAACUGCUUUUAUGCGGGGAUAAAGUGGCCCACGUGUGGGCUUUUGCAGGUACCGCAUGAAUAAGGACCGGCUAAUUCCGUG